CAGCGGUAGCCGCGGGAAUACAGAGGGUGCGAGCGUUAAUCGGAUUUACUGGGCGUAAAGCGUGCGUAGGCGGCUUUUUAAGUCGGAUGUGAAAUCCCUGAGCUUAACUUAGGAAUUGCAUUCGAUACUGGGAAGCUAGAGUAUGGGAGAGGAUGGUAGAAUUCCAGGUGUAGCGGUGAAAUGCGUAGAGAUCUGGAGGAAUACCGAUGGCGAAGGCAGCCAUCUGGCCUAAUACUGACGCUGAGGUACGAAAGCAUGGGGAGCAAACAGGAUUAGAUACCCCGGUAGUCCCUGUCUCUUAUAC
RNAcentral lists this ribosomal RNA (304 nucleotides) under uncultured bacterium. RNAcentral's name for it is "partial 16S ribosomal RNA". It matches the Rfam family "Bacterial small subunit ribosomal RNA", at positions 506 to 807 of the family's 1533-position model. The record is from RNAcentral.